UAGGGUGUGGCCAAGUGGUAAGGCACCAGGUUUUGGUCCUGGCAUUCGGGGGUUCGAAUCCCUCCACCCUAGCCA
RNAcentral lists this transfer RNA (75 nucleotides) under bacterium. RNAcentral's name for it is "tRNA-Gln". It matches the Rfam family "tRNA". From Rfam's summary of the family: Transfer RNA (tRNA) molecules are approximately 80 nucleotides in length. Their secondary structure includes four short double-helical elements and three loops (D, anti-codon, and T loops). Further hydrogen bonds mediate the characteristic L-shaped molecular structure. tRNAs have two regions of fundamental functional importance: the anti-codon, which is responsible for specific mRNA codon recognition, and the 3' end, to which the tRNAs corresponding amino acid is attached (by aminoacyl-tRNA synthetases). tRNAs cope with the degeneracy of the genetic code in two manners: having more than one tRNA (with a specific anti-codon) for a particular amino acid; and 'wobble' base-pairing, i.e. permitting non-standard base-pairing at the 3rd anti-codon position. The record is from RNAcentral. RNAcentral also lists the same sequence under 3 other names.